This 1541-nucleotide ribosomal RNA is filed under the name Salmonella enterica subsp. enterica serovar Ajiobo. RNAcentral's name for it is "bacterial SSU rRNA". It matches the Rfam family "Bacterial small subunit ribosomal RNA". Lineage: Bacteria; Pseudomonadati; Pseudomonadota; Gammaproteobacteria; Enterobacterales; Enterobacteriaceae. The record is from RNAcentral.
AAAUUGAAGAGUUUGAUCAUGGCUCAGAUUGAACGCUGGCGGCAGGCCUAACACAUGCAAGUCGAACGGUAACAGGAAGCAGCUUGCUGCUUUGCUGACGAGUGGCGGACGGGUGAGUAAUGUCUGGGAAACUGCCUGAUGGAGGGGGAUAACUACUGGAAACGGUGGCUAAUACCGCAUAACGUCGCAAGACCAAAGAGGGGGACCUUCGGGCCUCUUGCCAUCAGAUGUGCCCAGAUGGGAUUAGCUAGUUGGUGAGGUAACGGCUCACCAAGGCGACGAUCCCUAGCUGGUCUGAGAGGAUGACCAGCCACACUGGAACUGAGACACGGUCCAGACUCCUACGGGAGGCAGCAGUGGGGAAUAUUGCACAAUGGGCGCAAGCCUGAUGCAGCCAUGCCGCGUGUAUGAAGAAGGCCUUCGGGUUGUAAAGUACUUUCAGCGGGGAGGAAGGUGUUGUGGUUAAUAACCGCAGCAAUUGACGUUACCCGCAGAAGAAGCACCGGCUAACUCCGUGCCAGCAGCCGCGGUAAUACGGAGGGUGCAAGCGUUAAUCGGAAUUACUGGGCGUAAAGCGCACGCAGGCGGUCUGUCAAGUCGGAUGUGAAAUCCCCGGGCUCAACCUGGGAACUGCAUUCGAAACUGGCAGGCUUGAGUCUUGUAGAGGGGGGUAGAAUUCCAGGUGUAGCGGUGAAAUGCGUAGAGAUCUGGAGGAAUACCGGUGGCGAAGGCGGCCCCCUGGACAAAGACUGACGCUCAGGUGCGAAAGCGUGGGGAGCAAACAGGAUUAGAUACCCUGGUAGUCCACGCCGUAAACGAUGUCUACUUGGAGGUUGUGCCCUUGAGGCGUGGCUUCCGGAGCUAACGCGUUAAGUAGACCGCCUGGGGAGUACGGCCGCAAGGUUAAAACUCAAAUGAAUUGACGGGGGCCCGCACAAGCGGUGGAGCAUGUGGUUUAAUUCGAUGCAACGCGAAGAACCUUACCUGGUCUUGACAUCCACGGAAGUUUUCAGAGAUGAGAAUGUGCCUUCGGGAACCGUGAGACAGGUGCUGCAUGGCUGUCGUCAGCUCGUGUUGUGAAAUGUUGGGUUAAGUCCCGCAACGAGCGCAACCCUUAUCCUUUGUUGCCAGCGAUUAGGUCGGGAACUCAAAGGAGACUGCCAGUGAUAAACUGGAGGAAGGUGGGGAUGACGUCAAGUCAUCAUGGCCCUUACGACCAGGGCUACACACGUGCUACAAUGGCGCAUACAAAGAGAAGCGACCUCGCGAGAGCAAGCGGACCUCAUAAAGUGCGUCGUAGUCCGGAUUGGAGUCUGCAACUCGACUCCAUGAAGUCGGAAUCGCUAGUAAUCGUGGAUCAGAAUGCCACGGUGAAUACGUUCCCGGGCCUUGUACACACCGCCCGUCACACCAUGGGAGUGGGUUGCAAAAGAAGUAGGUAGCUUAACCUUCGGGAGGGCGCUUACCACUUUGUGAUUCAUGACUGGGGUGAAGUCGUAACAAGGUAACCGUAGGGGAACCUGCGGUUGGAUCACCUCCUU